Molecule: long non-coding RNA, 240 nt
Filed under: Panax ginseng (ginseng)
Lineage: Eukaryota; Viridiplantae; Streptophyta; Magnoliopsida; Apiales; Araliaceae
Description: long non-coding RNA (PGIN_LNC010103)
Source: RNAcentral
AAAGCUGUUGGUUAUGAAGCUUAGGUAGCAAUACCUGAGACCAAUAACCGCAGUGAUUAGGAUAAGCACUAACUCACAUAGAGUUAGUUGAAGAAUCUCGCAGGGUCAAAAAGUUAGGUUUAAGUAUGGUACCAUUGUACUCGAUACUAGUUGAUGUAUGGUAUCUGGGCUAAACAAUUCCUUCAGAGAGCGGAGGUAUAUACGAACUAGCAACUCGGAACCUAGUUUGUUGGUUGUUUG